This is a long non-coding RNA of Fundulus heteroclitus (mummichog), 462 nucleotides long. RefSeq lists it as uncharacterized. The transcript is spliced from 3 exons. The record is from RefSeq and is a predicted model, not a curated record. Lineage: Eukaryota; Metazoa; Chordata; Actinopteri; Cyprinodontiformes; Fundulidae.
CUCAUGGAGAGUCUCCAUCCAGCAGGAUCUCUGUCUCAGUAAAACCUCCAACCUCAGCUCCACCCACCAGUGAAGCUACACCUUCUACCUCAGCCUCCCUCCAGGUCAGGCUGCUCUGCCACCUGGUGGUCUUCUGUCCAUACUUCAUCUCCACUCUCCUCCUGGUGUCUCUAUAUCAGCACAAAGUCUCAGGAAGUGAUGUGCCAGUGUCUCCAGCAAUGACUCCACCCAUCCAGGCUGAGCAGAGAUUGAAUGAUGUUUAUGAUGAAGGGACAGAGCACCAUUUCUAAAUAAAACUAAUUAUUUUCUGAUUCAAUAAAUAUGGUGUUAUUAACUGAAGAAUCACAGUUUGAUGGAGCUCUUUGAUUUUUUUAACCAGCUCUGCAGCAGAUCUCAGCGGAUCAUUUAGGAAGUUUUAAGAAAAGUUAUGAGUUUUAUAUUUACCCAUUAUACAGGUUUCUU